AGAGUUUGAUCCUGGCUCAGGAUGAACGCUGGCGGCGUGCCUAAUACAUGCAAGUCGAACGAGAAUCCACGGCUUCGGUCGUGGAGGAGAGUGGCGCACGGGUGCGUAACACGUAGCUGACCUGCCCUUCGCAGGGGGAUAACACAGCGAAAGUUGUGCUAAUACCGCGUAGGCUGGUGGCGGUUAGAGAGCCAUCAGUAAAGCUUUAGGCGGCGAAGGAGGGGGCUGCGGUCCAUCAGCUCGCUGGUGAGGUAACGGCUCACCAGGGCGACGACGGAUAGGGGGCCUGAGAGGGUGACCCCCCACACUGGAACUGAGACACGGUCCAGACUCCUACGGGAGGCAGCAGUAAGGAAUAUUGCACAAUGGGCGCAAGCCUGAUGCAGCAACGCCGCGUGAGGGAUGAAGGGUUUCGGCUCGUAAACCUCUUUUCUGUGUGAAGAGCAAGGACGGUAGCACAGGAAUAAGUCUCGGCUAACUACGUGCCAGCAGCCGCGGUAAAACGUAGGAGGCGAGCGUUAUCCGGAAUUACUGGGCGUAAAGCGCACGUAGGGCGGCGCUGCAAGUGGUGCGUG
Molecule: ribosomal RNA, 575 nt
Filed under: uncultured bacterium
Lineage: Bacteria
Description: bacterial SSU rRNA
Rfam family: Bacterial small subunit ribosomal RNA
Source: RNAcentral